UCUCACGCUCGCUCUGCUCUAUCACAUAAUACCACUUCUGCAGCUCCCUGCGAAUAAUCAAACCACUUCUGCAGCUCCCUGCGAACAAUCAAACAAUCAAACCAGCGUCGCAACCGCAAACCAACAAAAGCAGCAGGUUAGGUACUCUCAAUUUCCUCAAAUGGCUAGUAUCCAUGAUGAGCCGAAAAUUUCUCCCGAGGAGGAGGAGCAUAUGAAGAACAUGGCUAGAUACAGGGACCAUUUGAUAGCAAAAACAAUUGAGCGAAGAGAACGUGCUGCCAAAGAGGCUAUAGCUGCGGCGGCGCGAGCCCGAAAGUUACAAUCACAAAAUCACCCAAUAUGAUUGGCUCCUUCUUCCCCCAAGCAUACUCAAUUAACCAAUAUCGUAUGACGAGCUCAGGAGAUGGUCAUUGCACGUCAAGUGCUCCCAAGGAAGCCACUAGUGCCAAUAAGGAAGCUAAUGGAGUGGAGGUGUGUUACUAGGGUAAAACUGUUUGAAAAUGUUUAAAGUCCAUUCCCUGUUGCCUUGUGAAGGAAAGGUAGUUAUGCACCAGUCUUCUCUCAUUUGGCAGAAGUCUGCUCUGGUUUCUUUUUUGUCCCAUUCAAAUUCUUUUGUACAUACUGUAAUCUGGAUAUUUCUAACGCACAGAGUCCGUUUUGGUUCAUUAUCAGUAUUCAAUUCAGUCUCGUGUUUAACUAUUUUCUACCGAAUGUAUGCAUCACAUGCUUUGGUGAUUGGCGUAAGGAUGGAUCUUAAUCCAUCACAAACUGUUAUUGGUUGCGGUCCUUGAUCUUUAACGUUACAAUAUUUUACAUACAUCUUUAAAUAUAUGUUAGCAUCGCCAGUGGCAGAGCCAGGCCACGGUUUUUUAUUUGAAAUGAU
Molecule: long non-coding RNA, 883 nt
Organism: Papaver somniferum (opium poppy)
Lineage: Eukaryota; Viridiplantae; Streptophyta; Magnoliopsida; Ranunculales; Papaveraceae
Exons: 5
Source: RefSeq, a predicted model, not a curated record